GAUGAAGAACGCAGCGAAAUGCGAUAAGUAAUGCGAAUUGCAGAAUUUCCGUGAGUCAUCGAAUCUUUGAACGCACAUUGCGCCCCUUGGCAUUCCAUGGGGCACGCCUGUUCGAGCGUCAUUUCAACCUUCAAGCCCGGCUUGGUAUUGGGCCUGCCGUCCCUGGCGGGCCUCAAAGAUGUUGGCGGUGGACGACCCCCGAGCGUGAUGGACUCACGACAACGGGGCGGUUCGCGGCCGAAAGCUCCCUUAGGUUGACCUCGGCUCAGGCGGGGAUACCCGCUGAACUUAAGCAUAUCAAUAAGCGGAGGA
Molecule: unclassified non-coding RNA, 312 nt
Filed under: soil metagenome
Description: partial contains 5.8S ribosomal RNA, internal transcribed spacer 2, and large subunit ribosomal RNA
Rfam family: 5.8S ribosomal RNA (bases 1-121)
Source: RNAcentral